GUUCAACGUAUAUUGUAAUUCCUUAUAGAAAUAUAUCAUAAUGACAUAUAAAUAGAACAAUAUCAUACUGACGGGAUCUUUUAAAGUACAGAGUCACGUUAUAAGAACAAAAGAAAUACAAAAGUCGCAAAUACAAAACAAACCACAAAAAAAUGAAAGCCGAUACAAACACAUUGACGAGAUGUAUAAGUACCGAGCCACGUGAAACGGAAAUCACAUGAAACCAUUCAACAGUAAAAGUAAUAUUAAUAAUAGAACAAAGACAAAUGAAAGAACUAUAAAACACGUCCCUGCAGGCACACUUUGUUGAAUCAACGUUGAAUCUUUGUUGAUUUUAGGUUAUACAUUGAUCAACAAAUAUUCAACAUUGAUUCAACGUUGACAAUGCAACGUUGAAAUUAGUGCAUUGUUUCAACGUUGAAUUAACAUUGUGUUGAAAUACCAACAAUGAAUCAACGUUGGCUAAACAAUAUAUAAAACCCAGUAGUUGUGGAUACCAGAAUUGUAUAAAAAGAAGUAUUGGACACAUCACAAUUAUUUUUAAAUUGAC
RNAcentral lists this long non-coding RNA (550 nucleotides) under Mytilus galloprovincialis (Mediterranean mussel). Lineage: Eukaryota; Metazoa; Mollusca; Bivalvia; Mytilida; Mytilidae. The record is from RNAcentral.